UCCGGUUGAUCCUGCCGGAGGUUACUGCUAUCGAGAUUCGACUAAGCCAUGCGAGUUGAAUGUUCUUCGUGAACAUGGCGGACUGCUCAGUAACACGUGGACAACCUACCCUUGGGUCCGGCAUAAUCCUGGGAAACUGGGAAUAAUUCCGGAUAGGUCACCGAUGCUGGAAUGCGCGGUGGCCGAAAGCUCCGGCGCCCGAGGAUGGGUCUGCGGCCUAUCAGGGUUGUAGUGGGUGUAACGUACCUACUAGCCUACGACGGGUACGGGUUGUGAGAGCAAGAGCCCGGAGAUGGAUUCUGAGACACGAAUCCAGGCCCUACGGGGUGCAGCAGGCGCGAAAACUUUACAAUGCGGGAAACCGUGAUAAGGGGAUCUCGAGUGCCAACAUAUAAUGUUGGCUGUCCAGAUGCCUAAAAAGCAUCUGUUAGCAAG
Molecule: ribosomal RNA, 435 nt
Filed under: Methanosaetaceae archaeon enrichment clone M31
Lineage: Archaea; Methanobacteriati; Methanobacteriota; Methanomicrobia; Methanotrichales; Methanotrichaceae
Description: bacterial SSU rRNA
Rfam family: Archaeal small subunit ribosomal RNA
Source: RNAcentral